RNAcentral lists this transfer RNA (73 nucleotides) under Acentronura tentaculata. RNAcentral describes it as "tRNA-Asn". It matches the Rfam family "tRNA". Rfam says of the family: Transfer RNA (tRNA) molecules are approximately 80 nucleotides in length. Lineage: Eukaryota; Metazoa; Chordata; Actinopteri; Syngnathiformes; Syngnathidae. The record is from RNAcentral. RNAcentral also lists the same sequence under 1 other name.
UAGACGGAUGCUCGCUGGUUUGGGCGUCUAGCUGUUAACUAGGAAACUGUAGGAUCGAGGCCUUCCCGUCUAG